Molecule: ribosomal RNA, 73 nt
Filed under: Diplodia seriata
Lineage: Eukaryota; Fungi; Ascomycota; Dothideomycetes; Botryosphaeriales; Botryosphaeriaceae
Description: partial 28S ribosomal RNA
Rfam family: Eukaryotic large subunit ribosomal RNA (bases 14-73)
Source: RNAcentral
CUUUUCUCAAGGUUGACCUCGGAUCAGGUAGGGAUACCCGCUGAACUUAAGCAUAUCAAUAAGCGGAGGAAAU